GAUGAAGAACGUAGUGAAAUGCGAUACUUGGUGUGAAUUGCAGAAUCCCGUGAACCAUCGAGUCUUUGAACGCAAGUUGCGCCCGAAGCCAUUAGGCCGAGGGCACGCCUGCCUGGGCGUCACACGUCGUUGCCCCCCCAUCUACUCCUUCGGGAUUGCGGGGGGCGGAUGAUGGCCUCCCGUGCGCCUCGUCGCGCGGUUGGCAUAAAUGCCAAGUCCUCGGCGACGCACGCCACGACAAUCGGUGGUUGCGAAACCUCGGUUGCCCGUCGUGUGCGGUCGUCGCGCAUCGAGGGCUCGAAAAAAUUGUCGGGCUCCGGCUCGGCUUUCAACGCGACCCCAGGUCAGGCGGGGUUACCCGCUGAAUUUAAGCAUAUCAAAAGCGGAGGA
This 390-nucleotide unclassified non-coding RNA is filed under the name soil metagenome. Its description in RNAcentral is "partial contains 5.8S ribosomal RNA, internal transcribed spacer 2, and large subunit ribosomal RNA". The stretch from base 1 to 122 matches the Rfam family "5.8S ribosomal RNA", at positions 35 to 154 of the family's 154-position model. The record is from RNAcentral.